GACGAACGCUGGCGGCGUGCUUAACACAUGCAAGUCGAACGGAAAGGCCCCUUUGGGGGUACUCGAUUGGCGCACGGGUGAGUAACACGUGCGUAACCUGCCCGUGACUUCGGGCUAACUUCAGGAGACUGGGGCGAAUACCGGAUAGGAAUCCUUGCUGCAUGGUGGGGGUUGGGAAGCGUCGGCGGUUUUGGAUGGACUCGCGGCCUAUCAGCUUGUUGGUGGGGUAGUGGCUUACCAAGGCCUUGACGGGUAGCCGGCCUGAGAGGGCGACCGGCCACAUUGGGACUGAGAUACGGCCCAGACUCCUACGGGAGGCAGCAGUGGGGAAUAUUGCACAAUGGGCGGAAGCCUGAUGCAGCAACGCCGCGGGCGGGAUGACGGCCUUCGGGUUGUAAACCGCUUUCAGCAGGGGCGAAGCUUGUGGUGACGGUACCUGCAGAAGAAGCACCGGCUAACUACGUG
This 465-nucleotide ribosomal RNA is filed under the name uncultured bacterium. RNAcentral's name for it is "partial 16S ribosomal RNA". It matches the Rfam family "Bacterial small subunit ribosomal RNA", at positions 28 to 507 of the family's 1533-position model. The record is from RNAcentral.